Molecule: ribosomal RNA, 315 nt
Filed under: uncultured archaeon
Lineage: Archaea
Description: bacterial SSU rRNA
Rfam family: Archaeal small subunit ribosomal RNA
Source: RNAcentral
UUAAGUCAGGCAACGAGCGAGACCCACGCCCACAGUUGCCAGCGUACUCUCCGGAGUGACGGGUACACUGUGGGGACCGCCGCUGCUAAAGCGGAGGAAGGAAUGGGCAACGGUAGGUCAGUAUGCCCCGAAUAUCCCGGGCUACACGCGGGCUACAAUGGUUGGUACAAUGGGUAUCUACCCCGAAAGGGGAUGGAAAUCUCCUAAAGCCAAUCUUAGUCCGGAUUGAGGGCUGCAACUCGCCCUCGUGAAGCUGGAAUCCGUAGUAAUCGUACAUCAACAGUGUGCGGUGAAUACGUCCCUGCUCCUUGCACA